AUGUGUGUCGAGAGCAAACACACACACACACACACACACAGAAUGACCCACGAGAAAGGGAAAGGGGAAAACACCAAUCCUGCGCUGGGCUUUUUCGACUUUUCCUUUAAAAAGAAAAAAGUUUUUCAAGCUGUAGGUUCCAAGAACCGGCAGGAGGGGGGCGAGGCGGGGUGGGGGGGUGUACAGAAAAGGCGCCUGGUCGGUUAUGAGUCACAAGUGGGUUAUAAAAGGGUCGCACGUUCGCAGGCGCGGGCUUCCUGUGCGCGGCUGAGCCGGGGCGCAGCGCGACGGUCCCAUCGGGCGGCCUCCACCCUCGGGACGCGAGCGGAGCGCCGAGCCCAGCGGCGAUCACGCGACGCGGGGAAGGAAGGAAGUGUGACUACCACUUCACUUUCAUAUAUCUCCUAAGACACAGCUGGACUCAGUGAAUUCAUUUCCUCUAUCGCCAGAGAGAGUCAGAAUCUCUCCUUUCAAAGAUAACUAGCCAAAUGAACAUAAUAAACAAGUCCAAGCAGUUGGAGGGGCGGCCGCCACCCCACCAUCUCCAAAUAACUGAUUCGCAUUUCCGAGACGGUUCACCUGAAGCCUUGCCUGCCACCUUGGUUCUCCCACCUGAAGGAGAUGGUUCUAACG
RNAcentral lists this long non-coding RNA (633 nucleotides) under Sus scrofa (pig). RNAcentral's name for it is "lncRNA (ENSSSCG00040075982.1)". The record is from RNAcentral. Lineage: Eukaryota; Metazoa; Chordata; Mammalia; Artiodactyla; Suidae.